GGUCGCAUAGCUCAGCUGGGAGAGCACCUGCCUUACAAGCAGGGGGUCAUUGGUUCGAACCCAAUUGUGACCA
RNAcentral lists this transfer RNA (73 nucleotides) under Leptotrichia trevisanii. RNAcentral's name for it is "tRNA-Val". It matches the Rfam family "tRNA". Rfam says of the family: Transfer RNA (tRNA) molecules are approximately 80 nucleotides in length. Their secondary structure includes four short double-helical elements and three loops (D, anti-codon, and T loops). Further hydrogen bonds mediate the characteristic L-shaped molecular structure. tRNAs have two regions of fundamental functional importance: the anti-codon, which is responsible for specific mRNA codon recognition, and the 3' end, to which the tRNAs corresponding amino acid is attached (by aminoacyl-tRNA synthetases). tRNAs cope with the degeneracy of the genetic code in two manners: having more than one tRNA (with a specific anti-codon) for a particular amino acid; and 'wobble' base-pairing, i.e. permitting non-standard base-pairing at the 3rd anti-codon position. Lineage: Bacteria; Fusobacteriati; Fusobacteriota; Fusobacteriia; Fusobacteriales; Leptotrichiaceae. The record is from RNAcentral.